CAUCAACACUAGGGGUGCCGUUAUGGCUGAGAUGAAGUAUAAGACUUCGGACCCUUAAUUACCUGAUCUGGGUUAUACCAGCGUAGGGAAGUGUACGUAUAUGGAC
This 106-nucleotide non-coding RNA is filed under the name Paenibacillus sp. RNAcentral describes it as "TPP sequence". It matches the Rfam family "TPP riboswitch aptamer (THI element)". From Rfam's summary of the family: Vitamin B(1) in its active form thiamin pyrophosphate (TPP) is an essential coenzyme that is synthesised by coupling of pyrimidine and thiazole moieties in bacteria. The previously detected thiamin-regulatory element, thi box was extended, resulting in a new, highly conserved RNA secondary structure, the THI element, which is widely distributed in eubacteria and also occurs in some archaea. RNAcentral also lists the same sequence under 1 other name. The record is from RNAcentral. Lineage: Bacteria; Bacillati; Bacillota; Bacilli; Caryophanales; Paenibacillaceae.